Molecule: long non-coding RNA, 2531 nt
Organism: Canis lupus familiaris (dog)
Lineage: Eukaryota; Metazoa; Chordata; Mammalia; Carnivora; Canidae
Exons: 3
Source: RefSeq, a predicted model, not a curated record
UUCAGCUCUGCUACUUUCUACCUGUGUGAUUCUGCACAACUUGCUUAACCUCUUUGUGCUUCCCUACCACAAAGGAAUAUGCACAACAGUUUGUUUAGCUAUGAUAAAGAUCACAACACCCCCUCCCAGGGAUUCAAGGAGUCGCCACAUAGCCAGUACUUAGAACACUGCUCCACCACACUAAGAUCUCAAUAAACGUGAAGUAGUGUUAUAUUACUACAGAAAGGAGGAACAUUAGGUGGUAUUCUUGGAGGCGGUGACCACUGAGGAAAAUCUAGGAUGGAUGAGCAUUAAUCCCUUUGUGGAUGGGGCAAUUAGAAGAGUGUUUCUCCAGCUUGCCAGAGCAGAAGAAUCACCUCAGGCAGUAAAAAUACAGAUUUGCCAGGUCUCUUACCUGGGGAUCCAGAUUCAGCCAGUGAGCCUAGGAACUGAUACUUAUUUUUACAAGCUCUUCAGGUAACUCUUAUGACCAAGCAGUUUAAGAAACAUCAUGCUAUGGCAUUGCAGGCACAAGAAGUGUAUUUAAGGUCAUAGAGGUGUGAAACAGUGUCGGUAUUUAGGGGGAGGCAAGUGAUUUGCUCUGCUUGGGGCAUAUUGUGUGGAGGAGAUGAAGUGGAGAGGCAAGCAGAGCCUGUAUGUCAGGGAUGCAGUUCCAAGGGCAAAAGGGAGCCACAGAAGAUUCUUGAGCAAGAGAGUAACAUGACAAACUUGCAUUUUAGGCAGCAGAUAGACAACAAUAAGAUGAAGUUGUAGUAGGUAUUGGAUUGGAUGGAAUUAGGUCUGGGAGGACAAACGAAAAAGGCCAUGACAAUCUCUUGUUGAACUAGCCAGGGACCCUGGGUGGGAAACCUCUGAUAUCUCACCAGAGGCCUGCUUUGUGGGGGACCUUCCCACCUUCAUGGGUCCAGCUUGGGUGUGCACACUGGAGCUUCUUGUCCAUGCUGCAAGCUGAUGGGACUGAGGUGGCCAUGGAGUGCUGCUGAGGAGGGCUGGCUGCUGCCUGCAUGGAGGAUUUGAUGGUGGAAAAGCCCUUUGACCAGUGGAAUCAAGUCUGAGAAGCUAGAAUAAGUGUUUACAGAAUGGAGGCUGGAGACAUGAAGACCAGGGCCAUGGGUCAUUGCCAAAUGAUGUGAUCCACAGAGUUACCACUUACCCUCCUUUCAAGCCAGGACUUUCUUCCUUCAACAUUUGGGGAGAAAAGGUGAUGAUACUGAGGUCCAAGUCAUGUGACAAGUGAGCAGCAGAGCCAAGACUGGACCCUAACACCACAUUGCUCAUCUUGCUCUCUCUCCGUCCCUGCCAGCCAGCAGUGACUGCAGAGUUCUGAGACAUCACCCUCGAAAGCUCAGGACAAGAGUGCUCUCUGGCUAAGCACACCUCUUCUCUUCAUGUCAGCUCCUGGGUCGCCUCCACAGAAAGGCGGCACAGGUGCCGGGCUGGCGCAAGCAGGAAACGUCUCCUGCCAGAGAAGGACUCCUGCUUUGCAUCCUCUGGGAGAAGCCACCUGUGGUCUCCACCCCCAGGCUCCUGCUGCCACAGAUCCGAGGGCCUCGCUCCUUCUGGAACCAAGGACCUCAGCAGGGCCACCUCCCACGCCCCAGUCACUGCACACAUGUGCUGGGCUGCUGGGCUUGUCUCAGGUUUUUAUUUCCAAUUGAUCGCUUACAGAUGACACUUGUCUCAGCGGGGGGUAAACAUUUUAUUUCUAUCCUGACUUCUUUAGAUGAUGGAGAGCGGCAAUUUGCUGGCUUGCGCCAAAGAAGGCCAAGGCUGUCUCUUGUCCUAUAGGUAAUUACCACUACCUGAUCCUCAGAGAGAGCGUCUGGUUGUGCCUCCAUUUGGCCGAGGCUGGCUGGAUGUUGUGCUUAAUGCUUUCAUUACUUCUGUCAACAACAGCUGGCGACGAGGAGCCAUUUAUUACAACUUCAGCUCUGGAAGGGAAAAGAAAAAAAGAGAAAGAGGGUAGACAUGAUCUGUUAGCAUGCCGAUGACAAGUCUAAUAGUUUUGUUUUUGCACGGGCUUGGAUGUAAACUUCGGGAGAGCAAAAUUGCAGUUAUUACCUGAGAAGGGAAGGAAGUCUAUUUAUCCUCUAGAAUGCACAAACUCUCUCCCUCAGGUAUAAGCUGCAUACAGUUUGGAGAUGGGGGAGGGGGUGGUGGAGAAGGAAGGAAUGUUUUUCCUCCCGACAUCCCCGCCCCAGUGUCUCCUCCCAGUGAAACCUAGCUGUCACUGUUGGAAUAGUAAUAGAUCUUCAAGUGACUUUUGCAAAAGUCCACAGUUGCAUUAGCAGCUGGGUGUCAUAAGAUGGUCUACAAACUUAAUAAAGAGAAAACAAAGCUCAUACCAGGGGAAUGCGAUGCAGCCUGCAACUUCCCCUACUUCCGCUUAUCCCAUCACUACCUCGUUUGUACUUUCAGAUGCCACCUCACACCUUGUUUCACAGUUCUCAGUGCUAUGUCUCGCUCUAUCACUAGGCUGUAAGCAGGGGAGCUCCCUCAUUCAUUUCUUUAUUCCCAGUGGUCUAACAUAG